Molecule: ribosomal RNA, 253 nt
Filed under: uncultured bacterium
Lineage: Bacteria
Description: partial 16S ribosomal RNA
Rfam family: Bacterial small subunit ribosomal RNA
Source: RNAcentral
UACGUAGGGGGCGAGCGUUGUCCGGAUUUACUGGGCGUAAAGCGUCCGUAGGCGGUUCGCUCAGUCCGGUGUGAAAGCUCCCCGCUCAACGGGGAGAGGUCAUCGGAUACUGGCGAGCUGGAGGGCAGCAGAGGCAGACGGAAUUCCCGGAGUAGUGGUGAUAUGCGUAGAGACCGGGAGGAACACCGGUGGCGAAGGCGGUCUGCUGGGCUGUCCCUGACGCUGAGGGACGAAAGCGUGGGGAGCGAACCGG